AGAUUAAGUUAUUAAGGGCGCACGGUGGAUGCCUUGGCACUAGAAGCCGAUGAAGGACGUUACUAACGACGAUAUGCUUUGGGGAGCUGUAAGUAAGCGUUGAUCCAGAGAUUUCCGAAUGGGGAAACCCAGCAUGAGUUAUGUCAUGUUAUCGAUAUGUGAAUACAUAGCAUAUCAGAAGGCAGACCCGGAGAACUGAAACAUCUUAGUACCCGGAGGAAGAGAAAGAAAAAUCGAUUCCCUGAGUAGCGGCGAGCGAAACGGGAAGAGCCCAAACCAACAAGCUUGCUUGUUGGGGUUGUAGGACACUCUAUACGGAGUUACAAAAGUAUAUAUUAGACGAAUCAUCUGGAAAGUUGAAUCAAAGAAGGUAAUAAUCCUGUAGUCGAAAAUAUAUACUCUCUUGAGUGGAUCCUGAGUACGACGGAGCACGUGAAAUUCCGUCGGAAUCUGGGAGGACCAUCUCCUAAGGCUAAAUACUCUCUAGUGACCGAUAGUGAACCAGUACCGUGAGGGAAAGGUGAAAAGUACCCCGGAAGGGGAGUGAAAGAGAACUUGAAACCGUGUGCUUACAAGUAGUCAGAGCCCGUUAAUGGGUGAUGGCGUGCCUUUUGUAGAAUGAACCGGCGAGUUACGAUUUGAUGCAAGGUUAAGCAGCUAAUGUGGAGCCGUAGCGAAAGCGAGUCUGAAUAGGGCGUUUAGUAUUUGGUCGUAGACCCGAAACCAGGUGAUCUACCCUUGGUCAGGUUGAAGUUCAGGUAACACUGAAUGGAGGACCGAACCGACUUACGUUGAAAAGUGAGCGGAUGAACUGAGGGUAGCGGAGAAAUUCCAAUCGAACUUGGAGAUAGCUGGUUCUCUCCGAAAUAGCUUUAGGGCUAGCCUCAAGUGAUGAUUAUUGGAGGUAGAGCACUGUUUGGACGAGGGGCCCUUCUCGGGUUACCGAAUUCAGACAAACUCCGAAUGCCAAUCAAUUUAACUUGGGAGUCAGAACAUGGGUGAUAAGGUCCGUGUUCGAAAGGGAAACAGCCCAGACCACCAGCUAAGGUCCCAAAAUAUAUGUUAAGUGGAAAAGGAUGUGGCGUUGCCCAGACAACUAGGAUGUUGGCUUAGAAGCAGCCAUCAUUUAAAGAGUGCGUAAUAGCUCACUAGUCGAGUGACACUGCGCCGAAAAUGUACCGGGGCUAAACAUAUUACCGAAGCUGUGGAUUGUCCGUAGGACAAUGGUAGGAGAGCGUUCUAAGGGCGUUGAAGCAUGAUCGCAAGGACAUGUGGAGCGCUUAGAAGUGAGAAUGCCGGUGUGAGUAGCGAAAGACGGGUGAGAAUCCCGUCCACCGAUUGACUAAGGUUUCCAGAGGAAGGCUCGUCCGCUCUGGGUUAGUCGGGUCCUAAGCUGAGGCCGACAGGCGUAGGCGAUGGAUAACAGGUUGAUAUUCCUGUACCACCUAGUAUCGUUUUAAUCGAUGGGGGGACGCAGUAGGAUAGGCGAAGCGUGCUAUUGGAUUGCACGUCCAAGCAGUAAGACUGAGUGUUAGGCAAAUCCGGCACUCAUAAGGUCAAGCUGUGAUGGGGAGAGGAAAUUGUUUCCUCGAGUCGUUGAUUUCACACUGCCAAGAAAAGCCUCUAGAUAGAUAACAGGUGCCCGUACCGCAAACCGACACAGGUAGUCAAGAUGAGAAUUCUAAGGUGAGCGAGCGAACUCUCGUUAAGGAACUCGGCAAAAUGACCCCGUAACUUCGGGAGAAGGGGUGCUCUUUAGGGUUAACGCCCAGAAGAGCCGCAGUGAAUAGGCCCAAGCGACUGUUUAUCAAAAACACAGGUCUCUGCUAAACCGUAAGGUGAUGUAUAGGGGCUGACGCCUGCCCGGUGCUGGAAGGUUAAGAGGAGUAGUUAGCUUCUGCGAAGCUACGAAUCGAAGCCCCAGUAAACGGCGGCCGUAACUAUAACGGUCCUAAGGUAGCGAAAUUCCUUGUCGGGUAAGUUCCGACCCGCACGAAAGGCGUAACGAUUUGGGCACUGUCUCAACGAGAGACUCGGUGAAAUCAUAGUACCUGUGAAGAUGCAGGUUACCCGCGACAGGACGGAAAGACCCCGUGGAGCUUUACUGUAGCCUGAUAUUGAAAUUCGGCACAGCUUGUACAGGAUAGGUAGGAGCCUUUGAAACGUGAGCGCUAGCUUACGUGGAGGCAUUGGUGGGAUACUACCCUAGCUGUGUUGGCUUUCUAACCCGCACCACUUAUCGUGGUGGGAGACAGUGUCAGGUGGGCAGUUUGACUGGGGCGGUCGCCUCCUAAAAGGUAACGGAGGCGCUCAAAGGUUCCCUCAGAAUGGUUGGAAAUCAUUCAUAGAGUGUAAAGGCAUAAGGGAGCUUGACUGCGAGACUUACAAGUCGAGCAGGGUCGAAAGACGGACUUAGUGAUCCGGUGGUUCCGCAUGGAAGGGCCAUCGCUCAACGGAUAAAAGCUACCCCGGGGAUAACAGGCUUAUCUCCCCCAAGAGUUCACAUCGACGGGGAGGUUUGGCACCUCGAUGUCGGCUCAUCGCAUCCUGGGGCUGUAGUCGGUCCCAAGGGUUGGGCUGUUCGCCCAUUAAAGCGGUACGCGAGCUGGGUUCAGAACGUCGUGAGACAGUUCGGUCCCUAUCCGUCGUGGGCGUAGGAAAUUUGAGAGGAGCUGUCCUU
This 2680-nucleotide ribosomal RNA is filed under the name Pseudomonas aeruginosa. RNAcentral's name for it is "partial 23S ribosomal RNA". It matches the Rfam family "Bacterial large subunit ribosomal RNA". The record is from RNAcentral. Lineage: Bacteria; Pseudomonadati; Pseudomonadota; Gammaproteobacteria; Pseudomonadales; Pseudomonadaceae.